UCUAAUCGGAAAUUGAAUACGCUUAAAUU
This 29-nucleotide non-coding RNA is filed under the name Bombyx mori (domestic silkworm). Lineage: Eukaryota; Metazoa; Arthropoda; Insecta; Lepidoptera; Bombycidae. The record is from RNAcentral.